GCCUCCGUAGUUCAACGGAUAGAAUAGAGGUUUCCUAAACCUUAGAUAGGAGUUCGAUUCUCCUCGGAGGUACCA
Molecule: transfer RNA, 75 nt
Filed under: Muribaculaceae bacterium
Lineage: Bacteria; Pseudomonadati; Bacteroidota; Bacteroidia; Bacteroidales; Muribaculaceae
Description: tRNA-Arg
Rfam family: tRNA
About the family: Transfer RNA (tRNA) molecules are approximately 80 nucleotides in length. Their secondary structure includes four short double-helical elements and three loops (D, anti-codon, and T loops).
Source: RNAcentral